GGGGAUAGAGCUCAGCUGGUAGAGUGCGUGCCUUGUGUGCACAAGGACCUGGGUUCAAUCCCCAGCAUCACAG
Molecule: non-coding RNA, 73 nt
Organism: Ictidomys tridecemlineatus (thirteen-lined ground squirrel)
Lineage: Eukaryota; Metazoa; Chordata; Mammalia; Rodentia; Sciuridae
Source: Rfam